This is a non-coding RNA of Hordeum vulgare subsp. vulgare (domesticated barley), 122 nucleotides long. The record is from Rfam. Lineage: Eukaryota; Viridiplantae; Streptophyta; Magnoliopsida; Poales; Poaceae.
CUAAUACUCCCUCCGUCCAGAAUUACUUAUCAUAAAAAUAGAUAAAAAUGGAUGUAUCUACUAAAAUACAUCUAGAUACAUUCAUUCCUCUGAGAAGUAUUUCUAGACGGAGGGAGUAUUAU